UGUCAAGGGAUGGGAAUCGAACCUACGACCUUCCGCUUACCGGGCAGAUGCCAUGACCACUAGGCUACCCUGGAC
This 75-nucleotide transfer RNA is filed under the name Cordylochernes scorpioides. RNAcentral's name for it is "tRNA-Thr". Lineage: Eukaryota; Metazoa; Arthropoda; Arachnida; Pseudoscorpiones; Chernetidae. The record is from RNAcentral.